RNAcentral lists this long non-coding RNA (252 nucleotides) under Homo sapiens (human). RNAcentral's name for it is "HSALNT0281861". Lineage: Eukaryota; Metazoa; Chordata; Mammalia; Primates; Hominidae. The record is from RNAcentral.
GCAUUGAGAGCUUGUACCAUUUCAUUUUAACACAUUACACAUGACUAAUUCUCUAUAAAGAAUUUUUCCUCACAUCUUUGUAGCUGUAAUGGUUAUUGUAAUUUCAACCUGAUAAUUUUAUAUUAAUGGUUAAGAAUUCAGCCUUUGGGGGUGGCUGUGGGCCUGCCUCUGGCAUGCAAAAGAAUUUUAAAGGUUAUAAAAUUCUUAGAAUUCUAAGACUAACUAAAAAGUUAUUCUUAAAAUGCUGAUGAA